RNAcentral lists this ribosomal RNA (492 nucleotides) under uncultured Lachnospiraceae bacterium. RNAcentral describes it as "bacterial SSU rRNA". It matches the Rfam family "Bacterial small subunit ribosomal RNA", at positions 15 to 507 of the family's 1533-position model. Lineage: Bacteria; Bacillati; Bacillota; Clostridia; Lachnospirales; Lachnospiraceae. The record is from RNAcentral.
GAUCCUGGCUCAGGAUGAACGCUGGCGGCGUGCCUAACACAUGCAAGUCGACGAAGCAUCCGCAUGGAGUUCUCCGGAAAUGAAGCGCGGAUGACUGAGUGGCGGACGGGUGAGUAACGCGUGGGCAACCUGCCCCGUACCGGGGGACAACAGCCGGAAACGGCUGCUAAUACCGCAUGAUCCCGCGGGGCCGCAUGGCCCUGCGGGGAAAGCUCCGGCAGUACGGGAUGGGCCCGCGUCUGAUUAGCUUGUUGGCGGGACAGAAGCCCACCAAGGCGACGAUCAGUAGCCGGCCUGAGAGGGCGGCCGGCCACAUUGGGACUGAGACACGGCCCAGACUCCUGCGGGAGGCAGCAGUGGGGGAUAUUGCACAAUGGGGGGAACCCUGAUGCAGCGACGCCGCGUGGGCGAUGAAAUGCCUCGGCAUGUAAAGCCCUGUCGGCAGGAAGGAAAAUGACAGUACCUGAACAAGAAGCCCCGGCUAACUACGUG